UGCGUAGGCGGCCCCGUGUGUCAGAGGUGAAAUCCCACGGCUCAACCGUGGAAUUGCCUUUGAAACUGCGAGGCUUGAGUCCGAGAGGGGAAGGUGGAAUUCCUGGUGUAACGGUGAAAUGUGCAGAUAUCAGGAAGAACACCCGUGGCGAAGGCGGCCUUCUGGCUCGGAACUGACGCUGAGGCACGAAAGCUAGGGUAUCGAACG
This 207-nucleotide ribosomal RNA is filed under the name uncultured bacterium. RNAcentral describes it as "partial 16S ribosomal RNA". It matches the Rfam family "Bacterial small subunit ribosomal RNA", at positions 568 to 774 of the family's 1533-position model. The record is from RNAcentral.